This 431-nucleotide ribosomal RNA is filed under the name uncultured bacterium. Its description in RNAcentral is "partial 16S ribosomal RNA". It matches the Rfam family "Bacterial small subunit ribosomal RNA", at positions 29 to 507 of the family's 1533-position model. The record is from RNAcentral.
AACGAACGCUGGCGGCAGGCUUAACACAUGCAAGUCGAGCGCCCCGCAAGGGGAGCGGCCGACGGGUGAGUAACGCGUGGGAACGUACCUUUUGGUUCGGAACAACUCCGGGAAACUGGAGUUAAUACCGGAUAAGCCCUAACGGGGAAAGAUUUAUCGCCGAAAGAUCGGCCCGCGCCUGAUUAGCUAGUUGGUGAGGUAACGGCUCACCAAGGCGACGAUCAGUAGCUGGUCUGAGAGGAUGAUCAGCCACACUGGGACUGGGACACGGCCCAGACUCCUACGGGAGGCAGCAGUGGGGAAUAUUGGACAAUGGGCGCAAGCCUGAUCCAGCCAUGCCGCGUGAGUGAUGAAGGCCUUAGGGUUGUAAAGCUCUUUUGUCCGGGAAGAUAAUGACUGUACCGGAAGAAUAAGCCCCGGCUAACUUCGUG